GACUCAGAACCAGUUUGACCAAAAAAAUGAACAAAAUGAAAAAUAAAGACAAUGAUGAAGAGGUAACGUAAUCUGUGAUAGAGUGCUGUGACGAGGCUUGCGAUGAAACAGGCAUUGAUUAGAUUCCAUAGUCAAUAGGUGUGAGGAUCAGUGAUGAAGCAGCAAGAAUUAACUGUGUUACUGUGCCUCUUAUGGGCACUAACCAUCCUCUAUGGCGAGAUGUUCGCUUACUGGGUUCCACCCCUCUUCACUUGCUCUUGGCCCCAUCUUCUUCGCACCUCUUCUUCUUCAACGAUUCAAACAGACAGUGGGAAUUAUCAAGCUGAUUAUGUAAAGGUUGCUGUUAUUGCAGAUCCACAGCUCAUGGAUAAAACUUCUCUACCUCUUCCUGCAAAAUCACUUGCACUGGAACUUGCAGAAUUCUACACUGAUUUAAACAUGCGAAGAUCUUUUUUUGCAUCUGUCCUGCCUUUCAAACCUGAUGUCAUAUUGUUUUUAGGUGAUUACUUCGAUGGUGGUCCUUAUUUAUCAGAUGAAGAAUGGCAGGAGUCUUUCAAUCGCUUCAGACAUAUCUUUGGUCUGAAUGCACAAGGAAAAUACACAGACAUGCACGCAUACUACAUUCCAGGAAAUCAUGAUAUUGGCUAUGAAAGUAUUCAUUCUCAAAAGCCAGAGGUUGUUGAUGUCACAGAAAUUCUUUGAAGUUGCCUGAUAACUGGUUUUGACCACUGUAAAAUGACAUUUUGGCACUAAAGUUAUCCAACGCUAUGAGGAAACAUUUGGGAUCAGGAACUACAGAUUUAAAGUUGGAAGAGCAGAUUUUAUUGCCAUUGAUGCACAAACUCUGGAUGGACACCCACAAAAUCAUCUGACUUCUCAAACAUGGGAUUUUGUGAAGAAUAUCUCUGUUGAUGACAUGGUUAAUCCAAGAGUCUUAUUAACACAUAUUCCUUUAUAUCGACGUGAAGAUACUUACUGUGGUCUUUACCGCAAUUCCCCAAUUGUCAAUCAGAGGAUACAUCGUACUGUAAAUGGUGAUACUAAUGAUAUAAUGUAUCAGAAUUAUGUUUUUGAGGAGUCAUCCAUGUACUUACUGGAUAGAAUCAAACCUGUGAGUCAUCUAUCUUCUCUUUGGACUGUUGUGAAUUGCUAUUCCAACCUGAAAUGGAUGUGGGAAAAAAUUAAUCCGUGAUGGAUUUGCCAACAUUUUGUCGUUCAUUUUGUGUCUUUCAUUUUUAGAAUACCUUGUGGUAUGAUGAUAAAAACUCUUGGGUCAUUUUCAUUUUCUCUGUCAAGAUGACUUGGAAGUGAAGGAUGACUGAGAAUAUAGGGGAAUUAAGAGUGGAGACGAUAAUGAGGAUAACACUCUUCUGAGUAAAAAUUUUGGUUUUGACAGAAGCUUAUUUUAUCUGGCCACGACCAUGAUCAGUGCACCAUUACUCAUCAAUCUAAAUCUGGACCUGUAAGCGAGCUCACCCUAGGUACUAUAAGUUGGCAACAAGGAAACUUGUAUCCUUCUUUCAUGCUGUUAUCAGUUGAUAACUCAACUCUUCCAAAUGCUUCCAUUCCCAAAAACGCUUUGUUGACUCAUUUGUGUUAUCUUCCGAUGCAAACACAUAUUUACAUAUGGUAUAUUGUGCUAUUUGUUCUGACCCUUUUUACUACUCUACUUUGGCCAACAAGUGGCACAAGUUUGUGGCAUCAGUGUUUGAGCUUAAUUAGCAAUGGUAAACUACUACUAGCUUGCAUCUUUUCUAGAAGCGAAACGAAAGACAAGGAUGAGGAUGCUAACUAUGAAUAUGAAAUGAUGUGGGAUGCGGAUGGAUCAAUGCAUCUUGUAAAGAAACCCUUGAAUGCAUCUACUGUAAAUUCAAACGAAAGGAGCAUAGGGGAAAGGGGUAAUGUUGUGAUGCGACCGGCUGCUAGGAAAAAUAUGGCUCAGGAAGCUGAUCUCUCUGUGAAUGUUGAUAUGGAUUCAGGCAUUGGGCUUGAUCCUCUAGCAAGAGUACCUCCCAGAGCUGGCAAAUCAAAGACAAAAAUUAUAAUCCAAAGAUUGAUCCGCACUCUGCGAAUGCUGACUGUCGUUGCAGCAGUGAAUGUUCCUCUUUACAUGAUGUUGCUAUUCAAGGAUUGGAUUGAAAAAUAAAGAUGAAAUUCCUGUUAGAGUGAUAUCGUUCAGGUUUUACAUUCACAUUUUUUUCUUUCUUUAAAUGAAAAUUCGUGGUCCAGUUAGAUAUUCAAGGAGGUAAUUGCUAUCAACAUAAACAAAUUAAUCAUAUGUUGAUGUUUUUGUAUGUUUACUUAGUGGCUUGAAACUUACAUUUAAAUUAUUCAUGAUAUGGCCAUGAUCAUAUGGUACACUUAGUA
Abrus precatorius (Indian licorice) is the source of this 2367-nucleotide RNA transcript. RefSeq lists it as uncharacterized. The record is from RefSeq and is a predicted model, not a curated record. The transcript is spliced from 13 exons. NCBI's taxonomy places the organism in Eukaryota, Viridiplantae, Streptophyta, Magnoliopsida, Fabales, Fabaceae.